This is a long non-coding RNA of Anguilla anguilla (European eel), 690 nucleotides long. RefSeq lists it as uncharacterized. The record is from RefSeq and is a predicted model, not a curated record. NCBI's taxonomy places the organism in Eukaryota, Metazoa, Chordata, Actinopteri, Anguilliformes, Anguillidae. The transcript has 3 exons.
AGAGUUCACAGGUGAUCAAAGGGUCCAGGUAGAAAGAGCAGGGUCACCUGUACCCAGCUGUGUGUCUCUGAAGAGUGAUUUUUCAAUGCCACUUCCACAAGAUUUCAGAGGAGAGUUCACAGGUGAUCAAAGGGUCCAGGUAGAAAGAGCAGGGUCACCUGUACCCAGCUGUGUGUCUCUGAAGAGUAAUCGUUCAAUGCCACUUCCACGCAAUUUCAGAGGAGAGUUCACAGGUGAUCAAAGGUAAUUAAAUAGGCUUAAAUUGACGCUACUAUUUAACCCCUUAACCCCAAGCAUUUAAAAAGGCAAUUUCCACCUGGUUUGCACUGCUCUUAAAGGUCCAGGAAACUAGGCUGUUGUUAUAUUCCCCAGAAGUGACGACAGAUUUUCUUCUUAAUGCUUCUUUCACGUUUUUAACCGAAUUAGAACCAUUGAAUUGUAAUAGACACGGUUAGAUUAUUGCGACCUGUUUAGCAGACAUGGGCAGGUUGGGUGUGUAUCCUGCGCUCAUUAACAUUCAUACUUGUAAGACAGGUCAUAUGUAAACCAUUUCUCAUCGCUAGCUUGGUUAGAGCUGGUUAGAGCAGAUUGUCCCAUGCAGUACCCGACAAAAUGAAAGAAAGCAACAUAAACUAGGCGUUCCCAUCGUAUGAUUAAACCUGAAGAUUAUUCAACUUGUAAUAGCAUUGU